UAAGGAACAGUAAUGUUUCGACAUCUUGGCACUUACGUGGGUUUGUUAAAGAUGCUAUCUGUAACCUCAGCACGUGGGACGGAGAGGAUUGUGAACUAGAGGCCAGUGUGUGUGAAACAGCGAGAACCUGUCUCAAUUUUCCCUGACUCAAAAGAAAAAAAUCCUAAACUUCUUUGAGAGCUGAUUUUACCAUCUACUUUUUCAGUUCUGUAUACACUGUAGUGGCCAUUUACUGAGUGUCUGUACACCAAGCUCAGUGGGAGUGCUGCAGUCAUAGAAAUUAUGCCUGUUUUCCUUUGUCUUGUUAAAGUUUAAAGUGAAGAUUGCAUGGUUUGCACUUAAAUCAUUCUUCCUGAUUGCCUGCAUUCCCUUUCAUGAAGAAACCUUUAUCCAAGAGCUGUUUCUAGGAAGCUUAGUCAUCACUUAAUACACAGAGUCAGAACCUCAAAAAGGUUUGGUUAGUAAAAUACUUGUCACAGUAUACCCCUCACACACACCCCAUUUUCUCUAUAAGUAUUCUCCCAAGCUCAAGUCCCUUAGGUCUUCUGGUGUGGCUCUCUACUAACCGGAGGCCCCUAGUAACAGCUCCUUUGUCAGAGACACAAGAGCAGCAGUUCUCUAUCUCUUCCCAGCUCGCAGACGUGCCCAGCCCUCCUGUGUGUGCUUCACAGCAGCACGACCUAUGGGAAAGAGAGCACUUGGGAGAGUAAAACUAAACAGGCUUUCCAUAAUCCAAUCAUCAGAGUACACA
RNAcentral lists this long non-coding RNA (751 nucleotides) under Rattus norvegicus (Norway rat). RNAcentral describes it as "long non-coding RNA NONRATT014506". The record is from RNAcentral. Lineage: Eukaryota; Metazoa; Chordata; Mammalia; Rodentia; Muridae.